This 323-nucleotide ribosomal RNA is filed under the name Paramunida labis. RNAcentral's name for it is "partial 16S ribosomal RNA". Lineage: Eukaryota; Metazoa; Arthropoda; Malacostraca; Decapoda; Munididae. The record is from RNAcentral.
UUAAACUAAGAAUAUAAGGGUGGAGCUUUUUAUUCAAUAAUUAAUAAAAGAUGAAUAAAUAAAUAUUUUUUUAUAAAUUAGGCUUUUUAGUGGCCAUAUUUUUAAAGUAUUUUAACUAAUAAAAUAUAUUUUUUUUUAUUUUUAUUUCUUUAACGUUUAUUAGAAUAAAUUUUUUAUUAAAAUUAAAUUAGUAAUAAUGAGAAUAUUAGUAGAGAAAUAGAUUGUUGAAGUUAAAAUAAUAGAUUUAUAAAUAUUUUAUAGUAAAUAUAAGGAAAAAUUAAAGGAAUUCGGCAAAUUUUUUCUUGCCUGUUUAACAAAAACAU